Molecule: unclassified non-coding RNA, 3006 nt
Filed under: Hevea brasiliensis (rubber tree)
Lineage: Eukaryota; Viridiplantae; Streptophyta; Magnoliopsida; Malpighiales; Euphorbiaceae
Source: RNAcentral
GGCAUGACAAUCCAAUCCAAUCAGUUGCCUAUUUCCUUGAGAAGCAUGUCAUAUUGAAAAUAAUAAUGGCAUGAAAGAAACCACUGAUGAGAGGGGAGAAAGAUGGGAAAGAUUUUCCAAUUGCCUUCAGUACAAGCAACUCAACUGAAGAUGAUCCAAACAUUAAGAGUCAAAGGGAAGAGUAAAAUAUUUCAUUACACUUGACACCUAACUUCUCUAUUAUGUAAUUAAAAUGAGCUAACUGUACAUUUUCAGGCUUCCUUCUGUUUUGGUGCUGGUGGGGGGAAGACCAGGCGAAAGACCCAAGCAGCCAAUAUUGCUCCUAUGAAGGGGCAAAUCCAAUAAACGUAGAAUUGUUCCCAUGUAUCAUGCCAUUUGUUUACAUAUGCCCACCCAAAAGCCUGUAGAAACAAUAACUCAUAUACAUUUAGUUAGACCUAUAUAUGAUUGUUAUAGUAGUCGUCUAAAUGUGCUAAUUUGCAACCAAAGGUAAUGAUCCUCUGAAGGAACAAAAAAUGCAAAUUAAAGGAAGGAACAAAUAACUUGAACACACAUACUGACACACAUAUACAUCUAUAUGUAUAUUUACGUUGCAAUAUUUACUGGCAUAUUUAAAUUCCUAUAACUAAGACCCAAAAUAGGAAUCAUGCAAAGAAUAUAUUAUGUAAAAGGCCUGCUAACAACAAUCUUAGCAGCAAUUAGUUCUGUAAAGGCUAUUACUUUUCCUAAUGUAGGCAAUGUUUCCUGGAAAGACCAAUAAUAUCCCUGUACAAGAGAAGAAUCUAACUUUUAUUGCCUAUGACUCAACUUGCACCCGAACAAGGAUUGUGCCUCAAGAUAAUGUGAAAAGAUGCAUUUUGAUUCAUUACUCUAUCGCUACAUGAUGGAUAGACAGAAACAGGACAACCAACAUUGUCAACCAUAGUGUAAACAUGAAAUCCAUACUACGAGACACCUCAUAAUUUCUUUAGUACAUCAGAGUUCAGAGCCUGAGCUGCACAAUCGGCCUAAACAUAAGUUAGCCUAAUAUUAGAAUAGAUAAUGUCAAUAUGAGAGAGAAGUAGAAAGUUCUACAAAUUGCAAAAUGAUGGAUGCAAGAUCAAUUUGCAAAACUCAGUUUCCAUGUGCACAAUUCCUUUCUAUUCCACAGAAGAAAUUCUGGAGCAAAAUGGCAGCAACAGAUCCUAUAUUAUACCAUCAAAGAACAAGUCACAAAAACCUUUGAAAUCGACCAAAAAAAGCUGUUGCAGAUGAAAACAUAUAGUUACCAGUUUACCCUUCAAAGAUUUGUCAAAGGCAACUUUGUAAACUAAAUCCCUGUGCUUUCAUUUCUUUUCUGCACUUAUCUUCAUACAGAAACAUGUUUGCCAUGAUCCAGAAUUGUCAUCUCAGGGGAAGAGUACUAGCCUCAAAACUUUCAAAAAACAUGACAUACCAGCAUGGGCAGCCACCAAGAUCAACACCAGGGCUCACCAUUAUACUCAUUAGCACCACCAUUAUGACAACAGAACCAAACGUCCUAAACCAUCAUAUCUGCUUUGCAUAUAUAUCAAACAGAUCUUAAUCAGAACAAAAAAUGUCCACAAUUGCUCUACAUUUCUUCCCACUCUUGGCAAACUGAGUAAAUAUGACAGACAUAGAAUGCCUAGACUGUAAGGAAAAGAAGAUUAAAUGAUCAUUCCUUUCCUUUCCUCCUCAUCAUUUAUUUAUUGAUCCAGUUCAUCCUUUAAAUGAGGGAAUGAAUGAUUUAGCCUAGGUAAUUCAAGAGGGAAGGAUAAGUCAGAAUAUUUCCCUAGACCCAUUAAAAAUUUUCAGUGUAACUGAAUUAAUUUAUACUAAACAAGGCAGAAGAAGGAAAAAGGACAUAAGUUUAUCAGAAUACUCUAAAGUAUGGUAGAAAACUAGAGUAUUAGCAGGAUCUGGCCUCCCUUCCCACUUAAAUAUCAUCUUUUUGUCUAUCUCUUCUUCCACUACUUCCAGUUCUAGCAAAAAAAUAUAGAAGUCUAUCUCAAUUUCACAAAAGGUUCCCUGACCACAUUCUUUAUCACAUAAAGUUAUUCUUCUGUCAUUUCGUAUCUAUAUUAUUAUAAUCCUAGGUGUGCAAGGAAGGGAGAAUUUGAGCUUGUCAUUCAAUAAGGUAUACAAAAAAAUAGUGGCAAUUCUUAGUUAAAAAUAUAGCUAUUAUAAUAUACAGCAUAAAAACCAAAGUCAUACCCCUCUGUCCAGUAAGAUAGAGAUCUCAUAAAUACCACAAAUUUGCCUCUUCUUGAAAUUAAGCUCCCAGAUAACUUGCCUUUUUCCUUCUUAUACCCAAUAUAUUUCUUGAUUUAUCUUUUUAUCUUUUUUGGAUUUCAAUGAAUUUAAAAUAGGCAAGUCAGUAAAAUAUUGACAUAGUAUGAAGAAAGCAACCUGGCUACAUGCCCAUAAAAAUGGAAAAAGAAUAGACUACCGAGUAAGUUCCAACCUUCUGCUAAAAUGUCUCCAACACAGUUUAAUCAGCAAGGCAGUGCCAAUCAUAUAUCCAAAACAAUCUUAAAAUAAAAUGCUCAAGUAAAAUGGGGGAUAGGUAUGAGCACGAAAGGAAAUCAAAUUGAAGAGAUAGCACAGGUUAAUAUUCCACAGUUGUGUUCUGUUAAAUUUUAGUGUUAUAUAAAUACUAUAGCAAUGAAUGGCACAUCUUCGAACAAGUGAUGGCAAAAUACUUUCAGAUAGAAUAAUGACAAAAAAGUGAUUGCAAGAAGAUUAAGGCGAUUGGAAGUACCAAUACCAUAAACACAAAAUAAAACAAGAUGCAAUGCAAAAACCACAUUUAUUUUCUAUUUAACAUAUAGUUUCAUAUAAAUGUUAAAGCAAUGUAUGACACAUCUUCAAACAAAUAAUGAAAAUCUAAAUGUGUAAAACUCAUGUAAGCCAAAAUCUUGGAUAUAAUGAAAACCAAAAGCAAUCGCAAGAAGAUUGAAGCAGGCAGAAGUAACAUUAAACACAUGAAAUAAGACAAGGCAAAAC